UGCAGUCGAGCGGUAACAUUUCUAGCUUGCUAGAAGAUGACGAGCGGCGGACGGGUGAGUAAUGCUUGGGAAUAUGCCUUAUGGUGGGGGACAACAGUUGGAAACGACUGCUAAUACCGCAUAAUGUCUACGGACCAAAGGGGGGGAUCUUCGGACCUCUCGCCAUUUGAUUAGCCCAAGUGAGAUUAGCUAGUUGGUGAGGUAAUGGCUCACCAAGGCGACGAUCUCUAGCUGGUUUGAGAGGAUGAUCAGCCACACUGGGACUGAGACACGGCCCAGACUCCUACGGGAGGCAGCAGUGGGGAAUAUUGCACAAUGGGCGCAAGCCUGAUGCAGCCAUGCCGCGUGUGUGAAGAAGGCCUUCGGGUUGUAAAGCACUUUCAGUAAGGAGGAAAGGGAUGUAGUUAAUAACUGCAUUCUGUGACGUUACUUACAGAAGAAGCACCGGCUAACUUCGUGCCAGCAGCCGCGGUAAUACGAGGGGUGCAAGCGUUAAUCGGAAUUACUGGGCGUAAAGCGCACGCAGGCGGUUUGUUAAGCUAGAUGUGAAAGCCCCGGGCUCAACCUGGGAAUAGCAUUUAGAACUGGCAGACUAGAGUCUUGGAGAGGGGAGUGGAAUUUCUGGUGUA
This 629-nucleotide ribosomal RNA is filed under the name uncultured bacterium. RNAcentral describes it as "bacterial SSU rRNA". It matches the Rfam family "Bacterial small subunit ribosomal RNA", at positions 56 to 677 of the family's 1533-position model. The record is from RNAcentral.